This 492-nucleotide ribosomal RNA is filed under the name uncultured bacterium. RNAcentral describes it as "partial 16S ribosomal RNA". It matches the Rfam family "Bacterial small subunit ribosomal RNA", at positions 29 to 507 of the family's 1533-position model. The record is from RNAcentral.
AGUGAACGCUGGCGGUAGGCCUAACACAUGCAAGUCGAACGGCAGCACAGUAAGAGCUUGCUCUUACGGGUGGCGAGUGGCGGACGGGUGAGGAAUACAUCGGAAUCUACUUUUUCGUGGGGGAUAACGUAGGGAAACUUACGCUAAUACCGCAUACGACCUACGGGUGAAAGCAGGGGAUCUUCGGACCUUGCGCGAUUGAAUGAGCCGAUGUCGGAUUAGCUAGUUGGCGCGGUAAAGGCCCACCAAGGCGACGAUCCGUAGCUGGUCUGAGAGGAUGAUCAGCCACACUGGAACUGAGACACGGUCCAGACUCCUACGGGAGGCAGCAGUGGGGAAUAUUGGACAAUGGGCGCAAGCCUGAUCCAGCCAUACCGCGUGGGUGAAGAAGGCCUUCGGGUUGUAAAGCCCUUUUGUUGGGAAAGAAAAGCAGCAGGUUAAUACCCCGCUGUUCUGACGGUACCCAAAGAAUAAGCACCGGCUAACUUCGUG